Molecule: ribosomal RNA, 358 nt
Filed under: Xerophloea peltata
Lineage: Eukaryota; Metazoa; Arthropoda; Insecta; Hemiptera; Cicadellidae
Description: partial 12S ribosomal RNA
Source: RNAcentral
AUACCCUAUUAUUCUAAACUUAUAUUUAACUUGAAUAUUAUUAGCUAUGUUCUUUUAAACUCAAAGAAUUUGGCGGUAAUUUAAAUCUGUUUAGGGGAACCUGUUGUGUAAUUGAUAAACCACGAUAGUUUAUACUUUGGAUUUAUUUGUAUACCUCUAUUUUAGAAUCUUUUUUAAAAAUAUUUUUAUUUAGAUAUUAUCUUUUAUGUUAGGUCAAGGUGCAGUUUUAAUUUAAAGAAUUAAUGGGUUACUUUGUUAUUAAUUUAUUUAUUUUACUUAUUUUUAAUUUUUAUUAGGAUUUAAUAGUAAUUUAAUUUAAUUUAAUUUAAUGAAUUCAGCUCUAAUUUAUGUACACAUC